GCCCACGUAGCUCAGUCGGCAGAGCACACCCUUGGUAAGGGUGAGGUCGGCGGUUCAAGUCCGCUCGUGGGCUUAG
This 76-nucleotide transfer RNA is filed under the name Persephonella marina EX-H1. Its description in RNAcentral is "tRNA-Thr". It matches the Rfam family "tRNA". From Rfam's summary of the family: Transfer RNA (tRNA) molecules are approximately 80 nucleotides in length. Their secondary structure includes four short double-helical elements and three loops (D, anti-codon, and T loops). The record is from RNAcentral. Lineage: Bacteria; Pseudomonadati; Aquificota; Aquificia; Aquificales; Hydrogenothermaceae.